CCUACGGGGGGCAGCAGUGGGGAAUAUUGCACAAUGGGGGAAACCCUGAUGCAGCGACGCCGCGUGAGCGAGGAAGUAUUUCGGUAUGUAAAGCUCUAUCAGCAGGGACGAAAAAAGACGGUACCUGACUAAGAAGCCCCGGCUAACUACGUGCCAGCAGCCGCGGUAAUACGUAGGGGGCAAGCGUUAUCCGGAUUUACUGGGUGUAAAGGGAGCGUAGACGGCAAGGCAAGCCAGAAGUGAAAGGGCAGGGCUCAACCCUGUACAUGCUUUUGGAACUGUGGUGCUAGAGUGCAGGAGAGGUAAGUGGAAUUCCUAGUGUAGCGGUGAAAUGCGUAGAUAUUAGGAGGAAUACUCAUUGCGAAGGCGACCUGCUAGAACAUAACUGACGCUGAUGCGCGAAAGCGUGGGGAGCAAACAGGAUUAGAUACCCCUGUAGUC
Molecule: ribosomal RNA, 441 nt
Filed under: uncultured bacterium
Lineage: Bacteria
Description: partial 16S ribosomal RNA
Rfam family: Bacterial small subunit ribosomal RNA
Source: RNAcentral